This 496-nucleotide ribosomal RNA is filed under the name uncultured bacterium. Its description in RNAcentral is "partial 16S ribosomal RNA". It matches the Rfam family "Bacterial small subunit ribosomal RNA", at positions 29 to 507 of the family's 1533-position model. The record is from RNAcentral.
AUGCACGCUGGCGGCGUGCCUAAUACAUGCAAGUCGAGCGAACGGACGAGAAGCUUGCUUCUCUGAUGUUAGCGGCGGACGGGUGAGUAACACGUGGAUAACCUACCUAUAAGACUGGGAUAACUUCGGGAAACCGGAGCUAAUACCGGAUAAUAUUUUGAACCGCAUGGUUCAAAAGUAAAAGACGGUCUUGCUGUCACUUAUAGAUGGAUCCGCGCUGCAUUAGCUAGUUGGUAAGGUAACGGCUUACCAAGGCAACGAUGCAUAGCCGAUCUGAGAGGGUGAUCGGCCACACUGGAACUGAGACACGGUCCAGACUCCUACGGGAGGCAGCAGUAGGGAAUCUUCCGCAAUGGGCGAAAGCCUGACGGAGCAACGCCGCGUGAGUGAUGAAGGUCUUCGGAUCGUAAAACUCUGUUAUUAGGGAAGAACAUAUGUGUAAGUAACUGUGCACAUCUUGACGGUACCUAAUCAGAAAGCCACGGCUAACUACGUG